This is a long non-coding RNA of Xiphophorus couchianus (Monterrey platyfish), 997 nucleotides long. RefSeq lists it as uncharacterized. Lineage: Eukaryota; Metazoa; Chordata; Actinopteri; Cyprinodontiformes; Poeciliidae. The record is from RefSeq and is a predicted model, not a curated record. The transcript is spliced from 4 exons.
AUUUGGAAAUGGGACUAUUGCAUUCCGGAAAUGAAGGGGGCGCUAUUUUCAUAAUCACUGGUAUAAAUACCUUAAGACGCAGGUUAAGAGGAAAGGAAGAAGAAAGAAAGAAGUUUGAGAGGUUCUUCCACUGGUGUUCGGCACACGAUCAACAAUGCAAAAUUCACAAAGUCAACAAAAGAUCCACGUAUCUAUUUGCAACAUGAACAUAAAUAUUGCUGUUCCCUUUGCUCAUACAAGCUACAGAACCAUUUAGCACAAACUGCUAUGGUUCAACAUAAUGAUGCCUCUGAAGGUUCUUGAAGCUGUUCUCCAGGAGGUGAUACCAGCACAGGGAGACUCAGCUUACCUCACCUUGGCAUUGACCUGCAAGUGCUUUGAAGCCGUUGUGUCUGAGCCAGUUUUCAGGAAGAUGACUCACUUUGCUUGGCUGGAUGGUGAGAUCAACUGGGGCAAAUUUUCAAAAACAUUCAAGGCAGAAAACCGGAUUCCUUUUGCGGUUGUAACGUGUUCUUCCUGCAACCGGUAAUAUAAAGACUGUGGGCUUCACCGGCAAUGGAAGACGAGGAGAGUACCCUGGUUACUACUGUGAUGGCCGACCUGGACACUGCACUGACUGUCAAUACUGAAUGCAAGGAGAAUAUUAGUUGCUUUCCACUGUCUUUCACACAUUUCAGUUAACACACAUUGUUUAUUUUUUUGUGACAUGCCAUUUUAAAUCAUUUCUGCUAAAGUAUAUUUGCCUUUUGACUUGUGCAGUCAUCCUUUUUAAUAAUGUGUUCUUUCAAUAUUAUUUACAUUUUUGAAUGUUCCUUUUAUUGUAGUUCAGUUGAUUUUCAUUAUUUAGUUUUCAUAGAAAUGGUGCCGUUUCCACACAAAGUUACAUUGUGGCUGUAAUUUGUUGGAGAGAGUAGAACCAAUAAAGUAGUUGUAAAUAUAUUGUAACAGCGUUAUUUAACAAUAGGAUAACCUUGUUUUAAAAAUUUUAAAUGCAAGC